AGUCCGAUGGUGUAACGGCAGCACAACAGAUUUUGGUUCUGUUUGUCCUGGUUCGAAUCCAGGUCGGACUA
Molecule: non-coding RNA, 71 nt
Organism: Bacteroidetes bacterium 46-16
Lineage: Bacteria; Pseudomonadati; Bacteroidota
Source: Rfam